RNAcentral lists this long non-coding RNA (968 nucleotides) under Daphnia pulex (common water flea). RNAcentral's name for it is "uncharacterized LOC124190836". Lineage: Eukaryota; Metazoa; Arthropoda; Branchiopoda; Diplostraca; Daphniidae. The record is from RNAcentral.
CUUCUACCUUGUUAGUUGAAGCGUGGGUUCUGAGUUCUGACUUCUGAUAGAAGAGACGCCAUUUCCUUUGUUUGGGGUUGUGAUGUUAGCUUAUUAACUGGAUUAGUGGAUUGCUACUUGCCAGGCAUUUCUUAGAAUUUGUGAUGGGUUUUAGUUAGUUCGGGUUGGCGGUUGGUGAUCUCGCUAUUAUUAUUGAUGAAUUUUGAUGCUUAAGACUUGGAAACAUGCUGUCUACCACAUCCAGAAGCUGAGUAACAUUUUACAUGUGGAAAGUUCUGAAUGGCAUCUUUUAAUAUAAGGAGCUUCCGCCAACCAGUCUAGGACUUGCAUCUAAUUGUGCAGGUUUCGUGGAGUUCUCAUUUACCUUUGCUGAGAACAUCAUGAACACAUACACUAUUUGAAGGUUCAUGUUUACGGAGCAGUGGUGUUGCUGUCCAGUGUGGCGUGUUGUUGCAGCCUAUGGUGGUGAAAGAUAUCUGCAUCAAGUUGCUGUUCCUUGUGCAUCCAAGGUGCUGGUUUUGUGCUACAGAAGCAAGUGACAUCCAAAAUUGUGUUUAAUUGCUAUUUGUGUCUUUGCCGUUUAUCUUUAUAUAUUGAGAAGGAACAAAAAAAAGUAUUACGGGGAGGUUUAUGUCAAACAAAUAAUAAACAUGUCCGGGAUGGGGGAAUGAGGAGGAAGUUGGAGUGGGGUAUUUGAUUAUGAUUUACUAAAAGAAGUGAGGUAUAUUUUUAAUGAAUAUGCAGUACUUGGUGAUAGAAACUGUUGUUAACCUAUACCUUCCUGUCUAUACCUUCCCUACUUCCACUUACACAUCCAUUCCUCAAACCUCAUAAGCACCAACAUCAAAUCUCACAUAUCCACUCACAUCCAUUCCUAAAACCCCACAAUCUCCCCACACCCAAUAUUCACACAAUAGUUGUAUAUCUAUAAACAUAUUUAAAUGUAAAUAAAAAAAAUGCAUUGUAUA